This 464-nucleotide ribosomal RNA is filed under the name uncultured bacterium. RNAcentral describes it as "partial 16S ribosomal RNA". It matches the Rfam family "Bacterial small subunit ribosomal RNA", at positions 339 to 795 of the family's 1533-position model. The record is from RNAcentral.
CUACGGGUGGCUGCAGUGGGGAAUAUUGCACAAUGAGCGAAAGCUUGAUGCAGCCAUACCGCGUGUGUGAAGAAGGCCCGAGGGUUGUAAAGCACUUUCAAUUGGGAGGAAGAUAGAGUAGUUAAUACCUGCUUUAUUUGACGUUACCUUUAGAAGAAGCACCGGCUAACUCUGUGCCAGCAGCCGCGGUAAUACAGAGGGUGCAAGCGUUAUUCGGAAUUACUGGGCGUAAAGCGCGCGUAGGCGGAUUAGUAAGUCAGUUGUGAAAGCCCUGGGCUCAACCUAGGAACUGCAUCUGAUACUGCUAGUCUAGAGUUUAGUAGAGGGAAGGGGAAUUCCAGGUGUAGCAGUGACAUGCGUAGAUAUCUGGAGGAACAUCAGUGGCGAAGGCGCCUUCCUGGACUAAAACUGACGCUGAGGUGCGAAAGCGUGGGUAGCGAACGGGAUUAGAUACCCUGGUAGUC